GGGAUGGUGCUGAAGUGGACGCCGUGUGAACUUCACCAGCAAUGGCUCCAAUCUGACAUUAACGCAGUCCUAUCUAAAAUGGCAGUUGGAGAUAUACCUGAGAGAAAGAUGGAGGUGGAAGACAUGAAGGAAGAGACACUCUGGAAAGAUGGAGGGGGAGGACAGGGCUUCUAUUAAGGAGAAGGAGACCGCUGGAAAUAUGGGGCAGGAGGACAGCGCCUCUGUCCAGGAGGCCUGUAGAAAGAUGGACAACGAGGACAGGGCCUCUGAGCUCAAAGACUAUUUCACUGCUCUUGAGGAGAACCGCAGAAACAUGCAGAAUCUCCUGCAAGAGCAGAAAGAAGAGUAUGAGAUGGAGUUGAGGGCUCUGGAGAGGGAGAGUGUGCAGGAGAGAGAGAUGCGGAAUAGAAAUGAGGCCCUGAAGAGGGAGAGAGAGAUGCGGAAUAGAAAGGAGGCUCUGGAGAGGGAGAGAGAUGCGGGAAAGAGAGGAAGCCCUGCUGUCCACUUUUAUUUCCGUUGUUGUCUGCAAGGACAAGCUCAUGAAAGACCUGAGGAUCCAGAUGGACAGACCGAGUCCAUCUAAGGUGUGCGAGGCACAAUGGGGCCAUUUUCAAACACAUGGGGCCACUGGCACUGCAGUGGUCACACUCCAGGAUAAUUCUAUACCUCAACAAGUUGCGGAGAGUGACCUGCAGGGGAACAAUACUGAACUGAAGAAAAAGGAGAAAAGGGCAUACCGUUUGCAGCGUCAUUUUCUUGCAUUCUACUUCGGAAAGCGGCACGAUUAUUUUUAUUUCUGGCUUGAUUUUUUUUUUUUACACGUUUUCACUCUUACAUUUGAUCUUACAACUAGCUUCUCAUCCAAAUGUAAGUACCGAUACUUCGACACACCGUUUGCAGCAUCUUAAUUUUUCAAAAGCGGAAAAAAGCGGCUAGCCAUAACUAGAGCCAUAACUAGAACUAACCAAUCCACCAGGCCUAUACAAUGUGGAUAGAACCAGAUGUGGAACAUAUCAUUUAAAAGUGAACAUAUUGAAAAACAGCAUUUUCCUUGCUAACAGGGCCUCUGUUAGAGUGGAGGAGAUCUGUCGAAAGAUGGAAAAGGAGGACGGGCCCACUGAGCUGAAGGAGCUUUUAGAUUAUUUCACUGCUCUUGAGGAGGACCGCAGGAACCUGCAGAAUCUCCUGCAAGAGAAAAAUGAAGAAAAUGAAAUGAAGUUGAGGGCUAAGGAGAGGGAGAUGGUGCAUGAGAGGGUAGAGUUGGAGAGUGAGAUGCGGGACAGAGGAGGCCCUGCUGUGCACUUUUAUUUCCGUUGUUGUCUGAAAGGACAAGGUCAUGAAAGACCUGAGGAUCCAGAUGGACAGACCGAGUCCAUCUAGGGUGUACGAGGCACAAUGGGGCCACUGGCACUGCAGUGGUCACACUCCAGGAUGCUUAUUAAAGCGCUAUACCUCAACAAAUUACGGAGAGUGACCUGCAGGGGAACAAAAGGCUGGAGGACCGGGGCAAAGCUGAACUGAAGAAAAAGGAGAAAGCCCUUCAACAGGCAGAGAAGAAAAGAAUGCGAAUAUUCUUCUGUAAAAGAAGCAAUUGAAUAAUGA
Long non-coding RNA from Clupea harengus (Atlantic herring), 1602 nucleotides. Lineage: Eukaryota; Metazoa; Chordata; Actinopteri; Clupeiformes; Clupeidae. The record is from Ensembl.